GAUCUGAGUAUAUCAAUAUUACCUUGUUCAGAACUUAAAGAGAAAUCUUGAGUUUAUGGACUUCAGGGGGAGUAUGGUCACAAGGCUGAAACUUAAAGGAAUUGACGGAAGGGCACACCAGGAGUGGAGCCUGCGGCUUAAUUUGACUCAACACGGGAAAACUUACCAAGACCGAACAGUAGAAGGAAUGACAGAUUAAGAGUUCUUUCAUGAUUUAUUGGGUAGUGGUGCAUGGCCGUUCUUAGUUGGUGGAGUGAUUUGUCAGGUUAAUUCCGGUAACGAACGAGACUGAAACCUAUUAAUUAGUUUUCUGCCUAUAAGACAGAAAUGUUCGCAAGAACAGGUGCGUAAGUACCACUUCUUAAAGGGACACAUUUCAAUUGUCCUAUUUUAAUUGUAGUUAUCUAAUU
Molecule: ribosomal RNA, 410 nt
Filed under: Entamoeba histolytica
Lineage: Eukaryota; Evosea; Mastigamoebida; Endamoebidae
Description: SSU rRNA
Rfam family: Eukaryotic small subunit ribosomal RNA
Source: RNAcentral